GGCGCCCAUACUCUGGCAACNGNGCGUGGGAUGCCGGAAAGUUGGUCAAACUUGAUCAUUUAGAGGAAGUAAAAGUCGUAACAAGGUUUCCGUAGGUGAACUUGCGGAAGGAUCAUUACGGACAUUGCAUUAAGCACUAUGCCGUGUGAACCGUCGUCGUGAAUCCUCAUAUUCAGGGGUCGGCGCUGGGCUGCCUGCGUGCUUGCCGUUAAAUGGCCAUCGGACGCGACCAGGGUCUCCCGAGGACGGGCAGUCUCUUUCUGUUGCGGCCGCUUGGCCUGCCCCGCCUGUGUUUUGGUUUUUGAACCGCAACCUUACGUGUCUUAAAGUUUGAUGUAGGUCGAGCCCUGCCUGCGCGGCUCGGCUCGACCGUGGAAGCAAAAAAACAUUGCCAGAGACAACUUUUGACGGUGGAUCUCUUGGCUCACGCAUCGAUGAAGAACGCAGCCAGCUGCGAUAAGUAGUGUGAAUUGCAGAAUUCAGUGAAUCAUCGAAUCUUUGAACGCAAAUGGCGCUCUUGGGUUCUCCCAGGAGCAUGUCUGUCUGAGUGUCGGAUCCACAUCCAUCGCCGGGGCGCCUUGCGCGCUCCGGCGGCGUUGGGGCGUCACGGCACCUCGGGGCCGUGUCCCUCGAAGGGCAGAGCGACUCGCUGUGGUUGGGGGGCUGGUUCCCGCAGCGCACCAGCGGAGGCCAAACGCUGUCGGUGCACUCCUCCGCGCGCUGCCGGGAUUCCCCGCCGCGACGAGCUCGCGUGUAAAGCGAGAAAGAGAAGAAGGUCGCGUGUAAAGCGUGCACCACUUCUCCUCUGACCUCAGAUCAGC
RNAcentral lists this small RNA (821 nucleotides) under Favites halicora. RNAcentral's name for it is "eukaryotic LSU rRNA". The stretch from base 400 to 553 matches the Rfam family "5.8S ribosomal RNA". The record is from RNAcentral. Lineage: Eukaryota; Metazoa; Cnidaria; Anthozoa; Scleractinia; Merulinidae.